Ochotona curzoniae (black-lipped pika) is the source of this 1285-nucleotide long non-coding RNA. RefSeq lists it as uncharacterized. The record is from RefSeq and is a predicted model, not a curated record. NCBI's taxonomy places the organism in Eukaryota, Metazoa, Chordata, Mammalia, Lagomorpha, Ochotonidae. The transcript has 2 exons.
CCGGCGCCUGCAUGCUCCUCGCUCUUUCUCUGUCCGCCUGUGCCUGCCGUGCCGCGUGCCGACUGCUUUUUCUACUAGUUGUGUUCCACUUCUCGUGUGCGUCAGGGGAGAGGGCGGUGGUAGAAGGAAGGAGUCCUUAGCCCUGUCCAGGCUCCUCGCAGAUCCCGGUUGUCUGGGAGGCGGUUCAUCCAUCCCGGCGUUCUGUUUCGUUGACUUGUGUUUUGGGCAGUUAGCAUCGCGUCUUUCUAUCUCCUUUAGGCUAAAAUAGUGCAAGUUUGUUGCUGACAUUCCUGUGCCACGUGUAGUUAGCCGUACGGCUUACAGUGAUGCAAAGCUCUCAUUUCUGUGAGUUUUCUUUUCAUCUUAAGGAGUGCAGCUCUGUGGCUAAGAUGUGUGUCAUGUAUGAUUAGCCUUAUACUUUAAAGUUAGGCAAAAAAAAAAAAAAGUGGCUCUGUGAUUAAAGACUGACUUUUAAAUGUGUCCAUCCUGAGAGGACAUUCCGCUGGACCUGUGUGUGUGUGUGUGUGUGUGUGUGUGUGUGUGUGUGUGUGUGUACAGGCGUGCUGAUCCUCUUGCUAGCAUUCUCAUAUUUAUGACUGAAUUGUUUUGUUGUUUUAAUUUAGAAGCCAGGUUCAGGCACAUCAGGUUGUCCUAGCUUCUUACAGGCAGCAAGCCUGAGUGCUAACUUCUGUAGCCAGAGUUGACACCCAGAUCAUCACUUCAGAUGCUGUCAAACUCCACCUGCAUUCUAGUUCUGUACCUUCUAGUCCACCAGGAGUUGCUUAGUUACCAAACACGUCAGCAAUCAUUUAAAAAAUUAACAUCAUGGCUUUUAUAUUAGAGAAAAAGUAUUAGCAUGCCAUGUUAAAAAAAAAAAAACAGCCUGGGUAGUGUGCAAUGCUACCUUCAUUUUUAAACAACAUUGCCAAAGAGUUGGUGCCAAAAUUACUCUAUAUUGCUCUAUAAUCCAAAAUUACAGAGGCUCUAUGUUUAGAAACCAUAUUUUGAAUCAGCAUAUGUGCCUUUUGAAAUUAUUUUGCCUAAGGCUAGAACAGGGCAAUUUAAAAAGAUCUAAGAAUAUUAAUUAUGUUAAUAAAGACAAUAUAGGACAGAAGCAGCUUGAGUUAUUGUUUGGUCAUCCUUUAAACCACAAGAUGAUGAGAGUGUUGUUCAUUUUGAGUGCUAAGUGAUUUAGUAAUUGUUAAUGCUAUCCAACACAAAAUGCUGGUGAAUGACACUUGAGGACUUUCUUAAUGAAUACCUGCUCUUCGGAUUUAGCCUGCAU